Molecule: long non-coding RNA, 614 nt
Organism: Tachysurus fulvidraco (yellow catfish)
Lineage: Eukaryota; Metazoa; Chordata; Actinopteri; Siluriformes; Bagridae
Exons: 3
Source: RefSeq, a predicted model, not a curated record
CUUCUAGAUUUGACUCAGUGUAACAUUAUCAUAAGCUAUGUUUAAUGAUGUUUGUUUUAAGCACAUACUCUGUGCUUAUUCUGCCCUGAUGAUGAACUCACUUCAAAUGAAUUCAGUUUUUAUUUGUUUUUAAUUUGUAUGCAGGAUCACAGCUGAAGCGACUCCACUCAACACAUCCUCAAGAUCCUUGUGGUCCAUGGUGCUGAUGGAGAGGAUCCUGUGGAUGUAUCCAGCCUUCUUUAAGGCAAAGAGACCUUCUCCAACUACAACAUUAAGGACGUGGUCGCUCCAGGACCGAGAUGUAGCAGUUGGACAUCUCAAACCAAUCAAGGCUGCGUGUCUCUCCAAACUGAAAUACCAACAGAUACAGUUAGCCCUCAAUUGGAAUCAAUUCUUCUAAACUACUGGAAUAUGGAUGAUAUAAUGGUAAUGAUUCAGAUAGGUUUUGGAAUAUUUUAGCAGAACCAAAUCAUUUGGUUCAUCAGAUGGAUGUUAAUUGAACUCUAUGACUUUUCUGCAAUUUAAGAAACUUAGAAGUAGAAUUUUACUUACAAUGGUGAUGAAGUCAUUGUCCGGACUUUUUCUCACGUAUUUAAUUGCAACCUGCACAUAUA